Molecule: ribosomal RNA, 448 nt
Filed under: uncultured bacterium
Lineage: Bacteria
Description: bacterial SSU rRNA
Rfam family: Bacterial small subunit ribosomal RNA
Source: RNAcentral
GCCCAGACUCCUACGGGAGGCAGCAGUGGGGAAUAUUGCACAAUGGGGGAAACCCUGAUGCAGCGACGCCGCGUGAGCGAUGAAGUAUUUCGGUAUGUAAAGCUCUAUCAGCAGGGAAGAAAAUGACGGUACCUGACUAAGAAGCCCCGGCUAACUACGUGCCAGCAGCCGCGGUAAUACGUAGGGGGCAAGCGUUAUCCGGAUUUACUGGGUGUAAAGGGAGCGUAGACGGCAAUGCAAGCCAGAUGUGAAAGCCCGGGGCUCAACCCCGGGACUGCAUUUGGAACUGUGUAGCUGGAGUGUCGGAGAGGCAGGCGGAAUUCCUAGUGUAGCGGUGAAAUGCGUAGAUAUUAGGAGGAACACCAGUGGCGAAGGCGGCCUGCUGGACGAUGACUGACGUUGAGGCUCGAAAGCGUGGGGAGCAAACAGGAUUAGAUACCCGCGUAAA